Solanum lycopersicum (tomato) is the source of this 310-nucleotide long non-coding RNA. RefSeq lists it as uncharacterized. The record is from RefSeq and is a predicted model, not a curated record. NCBI's taxonomy places the organism in Eukaryota, Viridiplantae, Streptophyta, Magnoliopsida, Solanales, Solanaceae.
UCGUAUAAAAACAUUAUUUUCUAAUUUUGUAUAUAAUUAUACACAAAACAAUUUUCUCUCUCCUUGUCACAUUCCAAAUUUUUCUCCUACAUUUAAUACUCUAGCUAUCCGGUUUGAAAUUCAAAUUGUUGUCCAAAAUUAGAUUACUCCCUCUCGAAGUUGAAGUUCCCUUCCAAAGUUGAAGUCAAUUUCAUCUAAAAUUGGUUACACAAUGAAUGAAUCAUCUUCAUCUUUGAGGAUUACCAGAGGGUCAUUGGGAAAAUCAAAUCAAGUUAUACAAGAACAAACAAUGGAAGAGCUUAGAUCAAAG